RNAcentral lists this ribosomal RNA (1403 nucleotides) under uncultured bacterium. Its description in RNAcentral is "bacterial SSU rRNA". It matches the Rfam family "Bacterial small subunit ribosomal RNA". The record is from RNAcentral.
CCUUAGAGUUUGAUCCUGGCUCAGGAUGAACGCUAGCUACAGGCUUAACACAUGCAAGUCGAGGGGCAGCAUUUUAGUUUGCUUGCAAACUAAAGAUGGCGACCGGCGCACGGGUGAGUAACACGUAUCCAACCUGCCGAUAACUCGGGGAUAGCCUUUCGAAAGAAAGAUUAAUAUCCGAUGGUAUAUUAAAACCGCAUGGUUUUACUAUUAAAGAAUUUCGGUUAUCGAUGGGGAUGCGUUCCAUUAGUUUGUUGGCGGGGUAACGGCCCACCAAGACUACGAUGGAUAGGGGUUCUGAGAGGAAGGUCCCCCACAUUGGAACUGAGACACGGUCCAAACUCCUACGGGAGGCAGCAGUGAGGAAUAUUGGUCAAUGGACGAGAGUCUGAACCAGCCAAGUAGCGUGAAGGAUGACUGCCCUAUGGGUUGUAAACUUCUUUUAUAUGGGAAUAAAGUAUUCCACGUGUGGAAUUUUGUAUGUACCAUAUGAAUAAGGAUCGGCUAACUCCGUGCCAGCAGCCGCGGUAAUACGGAGGAUCCGAGCGUUAUCCGGAUUUAUUGGGUUUAAAGGGAGCGUAGGUGGAUUGUUAAGUCAGUUGUGAAAGUUUGCGGCUCAACCGUAAAAUUGCAGUUGAAACUGGCAGUCUUGAGUACAGUAGAGGUGGGCGGAAUUCGUGGUGUAGCGGUGAAAUGCUUAGAUAUCACGAAGAACUCCGAUUGCGAAGGCAGCUCACUAGACUGCAACUGACACUGAUGCUCGAAAGUGUGGGUAUCAAACAGGAUUAGAUACCCUGGUAGUCCACACAGUAAACGAUGAAUACUCGCUGUUUGCGAUAUACAGUAAGCGGCCAAGCGAAAGCAUUAAGUAUUCCACCUGGGGAGUACGCCGGCAACGGUGAAACUCAAAGGAAUUGACGGGGGCCCGCACAAGCGGAGGAACAUGUGGUUUAAUUCGAUGAUACGCGAGGAACCUUACCCGGGCUUAAAUUGCAUUUGAAUAAUCUGGAAACAGGUUAGCCGCAAGGCAAAUGUGAAGGUGCUGCAUGGUUGUCGUCAGCUCGUGCCGUGAGGUGUCGGCUUAAGUGCCAUAACGAGCGCAACCCUUAUCUUUAGUUACUAACAGGUCAUGCUGAGGACUCUAGAGAGACUGCCGUCGUAAGAUGUGAGGAAGGUGGGGAUGACGUCAAAUCAGCACGGCCCUUACGUCCGGGGCUACACACGUGUUACAAUGGGGGGUACAGAAGGCAGCUACCUGGCGACAGGAUGCUAAUCCCAAAAACCUCUCUCAGUUCGGAUCGAAGUCUGCAACCCGACUUCGUGAAGCUGGAUUCGCUAGUAAUCGCGCAUCAGCCAUGGCGCGGUGAAUACGUUCCCGGGCCUUGCACUCACCGCCCGUCAAG